ACACACACUGAUUCUUCAAAUGGACGUUUCGAGUCUCCCAAUUUCUCCAUCGCACUGGGGAAAGUUGAUAUCGGCCGGCUACUCUUCUCUAUCCUCUCUCUCCUCCCCGUUUAGCCCUAGAUUUGAAGAUUUCGGAAAAUGAGGCGGUGGAGAUUUUGAAAGUAGCAUCUGGAAGGAGUGGGCAACACAAAAUUGAGAGCGGAAGUCGUGCUAUUGUGAAUGGUAAAAUUAGUUUCCAGGCUGAAUUACUGAAUUGGCUUGUUUUAUUUUUUUUUUCCGUGAAUUAUAUAGCUUUUCUUUGAUAUUAGUGGAAGAUUCAUUUUCUUGUUCUGCUAAUUCAAGGCUGACAUAUUUGCAUUUUUGCGUUAUGAUCAUUUGUGAGUAAUGUUGGUUUAAGCUCAAUGUCAGUUCAUUCAUAUCACACUUGUGAAGUACUAAUAUAGAAUAAGAGAAGGAACAAUAUUCCUUUUGGAUUU
Salvia splendens (bonfire salvia) is the source of this 476-nucleotide long non-coding RNA. RefSeq lists it as uncharacterized. Lineage: Eukaryota; Viridiplantae; Streptophyta; Magnoliopsida; Lamiales; Lamiaceae. The transcript is spliced from 2 exons. The record is from RefSeq and is a predicted model, not a curated record.